RNAcentral lists this long non-coding RNA (727 nucleotides) under Mus caroli (Ryukyu mouse). RNAcentral describes it as "lncRNA (MGP_CAROLIEiJ_G0005913.1)". The record is from RNAcentral. Lineage: Eukaryota; Metazoa; Chordata; Mammalia; Rodentia; Muridae.
AGACCCCGAAGCUGGAGUGUUCCCUGCUGCCUUUCGCUUACUGUGGCGUCCCAUUGCUGUUUUGAUCAGCAAUCCUGUAUUCUAUGCAGACUUACUUCUCUGCCACUGCUCUGAGACAGCAAGCUUCUAAAGGCAUCAAGACUCCAAGAUGCCCCAAAGUUCCUUUUGUGGAAAGCUGAACAUUUCUUUCAUGUGCUGGCCCGGGAUUAUGAUUUUUUUCUGAAACAGUCACUUCCUGUCACAAGGAUAAGUCAACUGUUCCCAAGGCAUCCCAGAGAAGCCUGAAGUAGAGUUGUUGGUGCACGCUGAAGAGGCCUUAAGUGAGGCCACAAAGAAAUCUGACUAGGAACACAGCAUUCUUUGAGCCAGCCUUGCAAAGGCCGCCUGCAGUGAGGCUGGCCCCGCCUGAGUCAUCUCUGAGUGGGAAGGACUGGAGCCAGCUGUCUCCUCAGGCUGGCUGGGGUUUGCAUUUCUCUGCCAAAGUCACACUUCAAGCAUGUGAAACAGUCCUGAGUUGUUAGCUGGGGUCAGAGUCACAGCGCCACUCAAUAGACUUCCCUCUCCCCAGCUGUCCUCCUCUGUCCUCCACUUCCCAGGCUUCACAGGGACCGAGGCCCUUAGGGAAGGCACAUCACAUUCUGACUGUGUGCAAGAAGAGUCUAUGUUCUGACACGAUUGCCUCCCAGAACUGCAAUUCUAUUCAUUCUAUUAAAAAAAAAAUUCCACC